AGUCGAGGGGCAGCAUAAUGGAUAGCAAUAUCUAUGGUGGCGACCGGCGCACGGGUGCGUAACGCGUAUGCAACCUACCUUUAACAGGGGGAUAACACUGAGAAAUUGGUACUAAUACCCCAUAAUAUCAUAGAAGGCAUCUUUUAUGGUUGAAAAUUCCGAUGGUUAGAGAUGGGCAUGCGUUGUAUUAGCUAGUUGGUGGGGUAACGGCUCACCAAGGCGACGAUACAUAGGGGGACUGAGAGGUUAACCCCCCACACUGGUACUGAGACACGGACCAGACUCCUACGGGAGGCAGCAGUGAGGAAUAUUGGUCAAUGGACGCAAGUCUGAACCAGCCAUGCCGCGUGCAGGAUGACGGCUCUAUGAGUUGUAAACUGCUUUUGUACGAGGGUAAACGCAGAUACGUGUACCUGUCUGAAAGUAUCGUACGAAUAAGGAUCGGCUAACUCCGUGCCAGCAGCCGCGGUAAUACGGAGGAUUCAAGCGUUAUCCGGAUUUAUUGGGUUUAAAGGGUGCGUAGGCGGUUUGAUAAGUUAGAGGUGAAAUUUCGGGGCUCAACCCUGAACGUGCCUCUAAUACUGUUGAGCUAGAGAGUAGUUGCGGUAGGCGGAAUGUAUGGUGUAGCGGUGAAAUGCUUAGAGAUCAUACAGAACACCGAUUGCGAAGGCAGCUUACCAAACUAUAUCUGACGUUGAGGCACGAAAGCGUGGGGAGCAA
Molecule: ribosomal RNA, 720 nt
Filed under: uncultured bacterium
Lineage: Bacteria
Description: bacterial SSU rRNA
Rfam family: Bacterial small subunit ribosomal RNA
Source: RNAcentral